Molecule: long non-coding RNA, 1139 nt
Filed under: Salvia miltiorrhiza (redroot sage)
Lineage: Eukaryota; Viridiplantae; Streptophyta; Magnoliopsida; Lamiales; Lamiaceae
Description: long non-coding RNA (SMIL_LNC012458)
Source: RNAcentral
CUGGGCGAAAACAUCUGCUGGUUUGGGAACUGAUCGCUGGACCGUUCGCGCAAAAGAGAGUUUGUUCCUUUUCGCCUCAGUGCUAGGGCUAGAUAUUCCAUGCAGCGUCGAUUUGACAAGAGCUUCGGAAUGACUCUUGCUGUUCUCAAAAGCGGGUUUGAGAGUGGAACUCGAGGGAACCUCCGAGGGAACCUCCGAGGGCCGAGUUUGGUUCUUACCGGAAGAAGCAGGCAAAGGCCUUACAAAGUUGUUGGAGAUUGGAGGAAAAUCUAAAGUCAUGGAAGCAGGCGGGGUAGGGUUGCUCAUGUAAUCCAAAGGAAAUCUUACUUGGGCAACAGCAGAAUUCAAACACGAUAACUAAAAACAGCAAAUGCUCGAUUUAUCCGAAUAGAGCACGAUGAAUGAACCAGAUCGAGCAAAAUCGAGCCAAACAAACAACGAAAAAAAGAAGAAGGAAAACAAACUGAAUAAACGAUGCACCUCAACAAAAAAUAAAAGACUUUUCAAGCUUACAAGGGUUUUCGAUCGGGGAGAGAGGACGAGAACCGCAUCAUCCGUUCCGGAGGAUUGACGGAGGCUGCGGAGGACGUCCAGACGCCGCGUCGUUGUUCUCGAUGGACUGCUGGGUCCGCCGCUGUGGUCCGGCGAAGCCGCACCAGACCAGCAGGGGGUCGAGGUGCAGCAGGCGCACAGUGUUCGAUCGACGUCAAACGUCUGGAGGCUGCGGUGGGGAGCGCACCAGUCCGGCCGUGAGUGGAGAGUGAAGCCGAGAGCAGCGGCGCUCAGCUCACGAUCGGACGCCGUGUCGUCUGGAGCGGAGUGGAGGAGCGCACCAGUCCGGUCUUGAGUGGAGAGCGGAGUCGAGAGCAGCGGCGCUGUGUGGAGGGGCGGAGUCGAGAGCAGCGGCGCACCACUCACGAUCUAGAGCAGCGGCGCUGCGUGGAGGGGCGGAGUCGACUCCUGUGUGGAGAGCCGGAGUCGAGAGCAGCGGCCUUGAGUGGAGAGCGGAUUCUGGAGCAGCGGCGCCCCACUCACGAUCGGAGCAAGUCAACGGCGGCGGCAGCUGAGGGGCCGAACGCCGUGUGGCGGUGGGGACGGUCCGGACGCCGGCAGAUGGGAAACGGAGGGCGUAAAGGUNA